UGGAGCACAAUUGUGAGAACAACUGGAUCUGUGUCUCUGGAGAUCCCUUUGCUCAGCCAUCAGAUCAAGCAGGCAUCCAUGGUUCAGAAUGCAGGUGAUGACCUGGGCAAGAGCUCACCAGUAAGGAGCAAAGGGGCCCGCCUGCCACUCUUAAGCAGAGCGCCUGCUGAAUCAGGAUUUCCAAGGCUCCGGCUGAGUGCCUGGCUGGGGGCUGUGUGUGCAGAUGCCACAAGAUGGACAAGACUGAGGACGCAGAUGAGGAAACUGAAGCAACUGUUCAAGAAGAGGAUAUAAAAAGGGACAGGCAUUGAUGAUGAUAUCAGAGCUUCUUCCUGGGGAAUCUCAGCCUCACAUGAUGGAGUAUGACUAAAGGAAAAAAAUAAGGCUCUUCACAUACUUUCUUGGCAGUCUGUGAGGGUCAGGGUUGAUUUUGUGUCCCUAAAAUGUCACAUGAAGUUCAUAGGCACUUCCAAAGGGGCAGUCUAGCAAGUUAAAGAGUAGAUGUGGGGCUGUGUGGAGUCCAUUGUUUGGGUAAUCUUUUUCAAACAGUAGGAAUAUACCAGCUUGUAAAGAUUUGCCCACUUAGCUUCAAGUCUCUCUGAACACAUUUCCCCCCGCUCUAUGAAUAGAUGAAGACAUACAAAUGGAACUCUUGAUAUUCUUAAGUGAAAAACAUGAUAUGGAAUAGCAGAUAAAUACAAACAAUUUCUUAUCCAGCAAAGAGCUCCAGAAAUAUUUUGACUUCAUUUAAAACAGUUAUAUAAAUAUUUGCUGGUGGAAUUUUUUUCUAAACCAAAUACCCUGAAGGAUUUUAGUUGUCUAUCUACAACUUUUUGCUUGUGGAAAAUGUUGACUUCCUGGUUACUUUGACUUGUGUUCACCUGAAAUUUUGCUUUUGCAGUAGUUUUUCUUAUGAUUUAGUGGCAUUGCCUGUCCAGUGACAGGAAGUGGUGUUCUUAUUGGGACUAAUAUGUGUUAUGGCCCUAGAACCAGCAGAAGCCACUCCUGCUUUUUUCCACACUCUUCUUUCUAUAGAAGAGAAGGGAAUGAGGAUCCCACAUGGCAUUCACUGCCUUGAGCAUACUGAGAUUUCUUUGCAAAAGGAGAAACAGCACCAGCAACUAAGCAUUUUAUCCCAUUUUAUUUUACUUCUUCUAUGAUUCUUUGCCACUUAGCAAUGCCAAUUAAUUGAUUUGGGACUGGAAAUACAUUUCUUAUACAAUCUUCAAGUUUUCUUUCAUAAGAACAUAACUUUCAUCUGAUAUUGUUCCCCACUUCUCUCUUUUCAAAUGUAAUAUUUGGGCCAGUCCUUGAAAGUGAACUGAGUUGAGUUCUCAUGGCCCAUAAAAGAACAUAUUCAAAAUGUAUCAUUUUCUUUAUGUCACAGAUAAAAGAUCAUUAAUUGUAUAUAAAAUUUCCAUAUAAUUUUUAAAAUUUUUAUUUUGCAAUAAUUUAUUUUAGAUUUACAUUAAAGUUGCAAGGAAGGUACAAA
Molecule: long non-coding RNA, 1492 nt
Filed under: Homo sapiens (human)
Lineage: Eukaryota; Metazoa; Chordata; Mammalia; Primates; Hominidae
Description: long intergenic non-protein coding RNA 2105
Source: RNAcentral